Molecule: ribosomal RNA, 494 nt
Filed under: uncultured bacterium
Lineage: Bacteria
Description: partial 16S ribosomal RNA
Rfam family: Bacterial small subunit ribosomal RNA
Source: RNAcentral
GACGAACGCUGGCGGCGUGCUUAACACAUGCAAGUCGAACGGUGAAGCGCCUUCCUUUUUGGUGGGUGUGGAUGAGUGGCGAACGGGUGAGUAACACGUGAGUAACCUGCCCCCUUCUUCUGGAUAACCGCAUGAAAGUGUGGCUAAUACGGGAUAUUCUGGGUCUGUCGCAUGAUGGGUCUGGGAAAGAUAUUGUUUCGGUGGGGGAUGGGCUCGCGGCCUAUCAGCUUGUUGGUGGGGUGAUGGCCUACCAAGGCGGUGACGGGUAGCCGGCCUGAGAGGGUGGACGGUCACGCUGGGACUGAGACACGGCCCAGACGCCUACGGGAGGCAGCAGUGGGGAAUAUUGCACAAUGGGCGCAAGGCUGAUGCAGCGACGCCGCGUGAGGGAUGGAGGCCUUCGGGUUGUGAACCUCUUUCGCCAGUGAAGCAGGCCUGCCUCGUUUGUGGGUGGGUUGACGGUAGCUGGAUAAGAAGCGCCGGCUAACUACGUG